CAGGUCACUCCUACGGGAGGCAGCAGUGGGGAAUUUUGGACAAUGGGGGAAACCCUGAUCCAGCAAUGCCGCGUGUGUGAAGAAGGCCUUCGGGUUGUAAAGCACUUUUGUCCGGAAAGAAAACUUCGGGGCUAAUACCUCUGGAGGAUGACGGUACCGGAAGAAUAAGCACCGGCUAACUACGUGCCAGCAGCCGCGGUAAUACGUAGGGUGCGAGCGUUAAUCGGAAUUACUGGGCGUAAAGCGUGCGCAGGCGGUCUGUUAAGACAGAUGUGAAAUCCCCGGGCUUAACCUGGGAACUGCAUUUGUGACUGGCAGGCUAGAGUAUGGCAGAGGGGGGUAGAAUUCCACGUGUAGCAGUGAAAUGCGUAGAGAUGUGGAGGAAUACCGAUGGCGAAGGCAGCCCCCUGGGCCAAUACUGACGCUCAUGCACGAAAGCGUGGGGAGCAAACAGGAUUAGAUACCCUGGUAGUCCACGCCCUAAACGAUGUCAACUAGUUGUUGGGGAUUCAUUUCCUUAGUAACGUAGCUAACGCGUGAAGUUGACCGCCUGGGGAGUACGGUCGCAAGAUUAAAACUCAAAGGAAUUGAC
This 592-nucleotide ribosomal RNA is filed under the name uncultured Burkholderia sp. RNAcentral's name for it is "bacterial SSU rRNA". It matches the Rfam family "Bacterial small subunit ribosomal RNA", at positions 329 to 914 of the family's 1533-position model. Lineage: Bacteria; Pseudomonadati; Pseudomonadota; Betaproteobacteria; Burkholderiales; Burkholderiaceae. The record is from RNAcentral.